Molecule: ribosomal RNA, 301 nt
Filed under: uncultured bacterium
Lineage: Bacteria
Description: partial 16S ribosomal RNA
Rfam family: Bacterial small subunit ribosomal RNA
Source: RNAcentral
CAUAGCCGCGGGAAUACGUAGGGUGCAAGCGUUAAUCGGAAUUACUGGGCGUAAAGCGUGCGCAGGCGGUUAUGCAAGACAGACGUGAAAUCCCCGGGCUCAACCUGGGAACUGCAUUUGUGACUGCAUGACUGGAGUACGGCAGAGGGGGAUGGAAUUCCGCGUGUAGCAGUGAAAUGCGUAGAUAUGCGGAGGAACACCGAUGGCGAAGGCAAUCCCCUGGGCCUGUACUGACGCUCAUGCACGAAAGCGUGGGGAGCAAACAGGAUUAGAUACCCGAGUAGUCCCUGUCUCUUAUACA